This 297-nucleotide ribosomal RNA is filed under the name Triticum aestivum (bread wheat). RNAcentral describes it as "partial small subunit ribosomal RNA". The record is from RNAcentral. Lineage: Eukaryota; Viridiplantae; Streptophyta; Magnoliopsida; Poales; Poaceae.
AUGCACAUGAUGUGGCACAACACCGGCAAUACCUUGCCGGUGAUGGUCAACGGUCGGCAGACGGGCAGCAAAAAGGUUCUGGUGCUGCACACCAACAAGAACUUCGACCAACAGAGGACCAACUGGGUGAUGCACCAGUACCACCUCGUGGACCUGGAGAAAGAGAAGGAGCGGGAGAUGGUCCUCUGUCGAGCAAGUUUCAACUGGGCUGUAGACUGCCGAGGCUUGGUUUUGUUUUUAACAGGCCCAGCCCAUGAAGACAACAGUGCACAAAGAUCCAGCAGGUAUUUUUACUAG